UGGGGAAUAUUGGACAAUGGGCGCAAGCCUGAUCCAGCCAUGCCGCGUGAGUGAUGAAGGCCCUAGGGUUGUAAAGCUCUUUCACCGGUGAAGAUAAUGACGGUAACCGGAGAAGAAGCUCCGGCUAACUUCGUGCCAGCAGCCGCGGUAAUACGAAGGGGGCCAGCGUUGUUCGGAUUUACUGGGCGUAAAGCGCAUGUAGGCGGACUAUUAAGUCAGGGGUGAAAUCCCGGGGCUCAACCCCGGAACUGCCUUUGAUACGGGUGGUCUUGAGUUCGAGAGAGGUGAGUGGAAUUCCGAGUGUAGAGGUGAAAUUCGUAGAUAUUCGGAGGAACACCAGUGGCGAAGGCGGCUCACUGGCUCGAUACUGACGCUGAGGUGCGAAAGCGUGGGGAGCAAACAGG
This 404-nucleotide ribosomal RNA is filed under the name Actinomycetes bacterium. RNAcentral describes it as "Actinobacteria bacterium partial 16S ribosomal RNA". It matches the Rfam family "Bacterial small subunit ribosomal RNA", at positions 355 to 776 of the family's 1533-position model. The record is from RNAcentral. Lineage: Bacteria; Bacillati; Actinomycetota; Actinomycetes.